RNAcentral lists this ribosomal RNA (765 nucleotides) under uncultured Streptococcus sp. RNAcentral's name for it is "bacterial SSU rRNA". It matches the Rfam family "Bacterial small subunit ribosomal RNA", at positions 28 to 776 of the family's 1533-position model. Lineage: Bacteria; Bacillati; Bacillota; Bacilli; Lactobacillales; Streptococcaceae. The record is from RNAcentral.
GACGAACGCUGGCGGCGUGCCUAAUACAUGCAAGUAGAACGCUGAAGAGAGGAGCUUGCUCUUCUUGGAUGAGUUGCGAACGGGUGAGUAACGCGUAGGUAACCUGCCUUGUAGCGGGGGAUAACUAUUGGAAACGAUAGCUAAUACCGCAUAACAAUGGAUGACACAUGUCAUUUAUUUGAAAGGGGCAAUUGCUCCACUACAAGAUGGACCUGCGUUGUAUUAGCUAGUAGGUGAGGUAACGGCUCACCUAGGCGACGAUACAUAGCCGACCUGAGAGGGUGAUCGGCCACACUGGGACUGAGACACGGCCCAGACUCCUACGGGAGGCAGCAGUAGGGAAUCUUCGGCAAUGGGGGCAACCCUGACCGAGCAACGCCGCGUGAGUGAAGAAGGUUUUCGGAUCGUAAAGCUCUGUUGUAAGUCAAGAACGAGUGUGAGAGUGGAAAGUUCACACUGUGACGGUAGCUUACCAGAAAGGGACGGCUAACUACGUGCCAGCAGCCGCGGUAAUACGUAGGUCCCGAGCGUUGUCCGGAUUUAUUGGGCGUAAAGCGAGCGCAGGCGGUUUGAUAAGUCUGAAGUUAAAGGCUGUGGCUCAACCAUAGUCCGCUUUGGAAACUGUCAAACUUGAGUGCAGAAGGGGAGAGUGGAAUUCCAUGUGUAGCGGUGAAAUGCGUAGAUAUAUGGAGGAACACCGGUGGCGAAAGCGGCUCUCUGGUCUGUAACUGACGCUGAGGCUCGAAAGCGUGGGGAGCGAACAGG